UGCAGAAUGGAGUAACGGCCAGCUCGCUGGGUUCAUGCCCCGGAAAUGUCGGUUCAAAUCCGGCUUCUGCAA
This 72-nucleotide transfer RNA is filed under the name Caudoviricetes sp. RNAcentral's name for it is "tRNA-Met". It matches the Rfam family "tRNA". From Rfam's summary of the family: Transfer RNA (tRNA) molecules are approximately 80 nucleotides in length. Their secondary structure includes four short double-helical elements and three loops (D, anti-codon, and T loops). Further hydrogen bonds mediate the characteristic L-shaped molecular structure. tRNAs have two regions of fundamental functional importance: the anti-codon, which is responsible for specific mRNA codon recognition, and the 3' end, to which the tRNAs corresponding amino acid is attached (by aminoacyl-tRNA synthetases). tRNAs cope with the degeneracy of the genetic code in two manners: having more than one tRNA (with a specific anti-codon) for a particular amino acid; and 'wobble' base-pairing, i.e. permitting non-standard base-pairing at the 3rd anti-codon position. Lineage: Duplodnaviria; Heunggongvirae; Uroviricota; Caudoviricetes. The record is from RNAcentral.